GCACUGCUAAUGAGUCCCAAACAGGACGAAACAGCUGUUCAGUGC
Molecule: non-coding RNA, 45 nt
Filed under: Echinostoma caproni
Lineage: Eukaryota; Metazoa; Platyhelminthes; Trematoda; Plagiorchiida; Echinostomatidae
Source: RNAcentral